This is a long non-coding RNA of Anguilla anguilla (European eel), 427 nucleotides long. RefSeq lists it as uncharacterized. The record is from RefSeq and is a predicted model, not a curated record. The transcript has 3 exons. NCBI's taxonomy places the organism in Eukaryota, Metazoa, Chordata, Actinopteri, Anguilliformes, Anguillidae.
UACACCAUUAAAAGCAUCACACUGCAGGAUGCAGGAGAAUACAUCUGUGAGGCACAGAAUAGGAUUGGGACAAAAACAUCUCCUCCUAAACGUCUUGAUGUGCAGUAUCCUCCGAAGAGCGUCUCAGUAUCAGUGAGCCCCUCUGGUGAAAUAGUGGAGGGCAGUUCAGUGACUCUGACCUGCAGCAGCAGUGAUGCCAACCCACCAGUGCAUAUACACACCUGGUAUAAGAAUAGAGCUGAACUCUCAUGGAGAGGAUCUAGGUACACCAUUAAAAGCAUCAAACUGCAGGAUGCAGGAGAAUACAUCUGUGAGGCACAGAAUAGGAUUGGGACAAAAACAUCUCCUCCUAAACGUCUUGAUGUGCAGUAUCCUCCGAAGAGUGUCUCAGUAUCAGUGAGCCCCUCUGGUGAAAUAGUGGAGGGCA